RNAcentral lists this ribosomal RNA (372 nucleotides) under Triticum aestivum (bread wheat). RNAcentral describes it as "partial small subunit ribosomal RNA". The record is from RNAcentral. Lineage: Eukaryota; Viridiplantae; Streptophyta; Magnoliopsida; Poales; Poaceae.
AUGCAUGACACAACAUUUCUGUGCACGCCUGAGGAUUCCAUCACUCCAAUCCUACCUCUGGUGCUGAGUAGCUUGGUCUCGAGGCUUUGGUUAUCCUUCUUCUUGUGGUUAGCCUGCACCUCCUCGCUGCUUCACACUAAUUCUCAGGUUUGGGUUUGGUCCAACUCCUGUUUGGUUCAGUUGUACCAGUGGCUAUCAAACUCUCACUACGGCUGGGUUGCUCUAUUUAUAGUGCUCUGGACGGGUGACUCAGCUGUGUGCUUGUUGUGUGUGCUGCUAGUGCUGUCCUUGCGUGAGUCUCUGGUGCUGGUGGUGUUGACAGCAGCUGCUUGCUGUUGUCAAGCUCUCCUUGAUGCCUAUCUUGUAAGCUGA